GAAUAAAAUAAUUAAGAAUAAAACCAAAUUAAAGACCUCAGUCGGAACCAAAGGUUUUUUAAUAGGUUUUCAAUUUUUUUAAUUAAAGGUGAAUAAAAUUAAAUGGCUUCAGCAUCAAAGGAGUGGGGAGUUGGACAGGAACCCCCUAAAGAACCGGUUCACAAAAACACAUAAAUCAAACUCAAACGUCUCAAGAACCUGACAGCCCCGAUUCUGUUCAUGACGAAACGGGAUGCAACCAGCAGGAAGGUACUGGCUCUGUCCCGCUCUGGACUCAGCCAGUUGUUCCACCCUGGACUGGUGUUAUAGAUUAACUGGUGGCGGCAUCUGGAAGAGACAGAUGUUUCUGUGGGCGUGGCUUUUUAGGACCCCUUUACCGAACCAGGAAGUAAACAAUGCAAUAAGAUUAAAAAGCUAGAAAAUUUUUGCAAAAAUACUAUCCGACUCCGUAAGACAACCAUUAAGAUCUCGGAAUAACUAAUUAGAGACACUUUUAUUGGUACAACAUGGUAUGUUGCCUCUUUGUUUUUUACAUUGAUUUGCAAAAUCACCAAAACAGGUAAAUUACGCAGAACUUGUCCUGAUUUCUGUGUCGCUUCAGAGGUUGAAACUCGUCAAAGGAAGAUCGAAAGAUGCCGUAAGCAGAUCUCAAAGCAAAGAUUAAUCCCUGAAAGUGACAUAAAUGUUGAAGAGCUGUGGGAUUAAAAAUAAAAUGUUUGAAAAGAUCCACUGACUGUUGUUUUUCACAUCUCCCUGAACACAGACUAACCCUGUAGAUAUGGAUCAUAAUCUGUUGGUAUCUGACAGUAAUGUAGGAACGUUUAUUAUUAGCAUUUUGGCGCGUCAAUUUGGAUAUCACCACCAACUACAACAUUGGCUAACUUUAUAUAAUUUACAUGAGAUUUUAUUGCAGUAUAACUUAUCGACAUUGCUUGAUAUUCCUCUCUAUUUUAAACACCACAAGCAACACCAUCAGUUUCCAGAAGCUGCUGAGGAUCCGAUCGUUCCCUCUGGCCCGGUUAUGGUUCUGAACAACAUCAUCAGUCAGAAGCCAGAACCGCCUCAUACAAUCUGAUCGUUUCUCCAGGUUCCUGAUGGUCCCACCUGGUGAAGAUUUGGUUUCUGUUGCAUAAACUCUUUACUAACAAAGUUAAAGAUGUGACUGAGAUGCUGCCCAACCAAACAGAUUCAACACAAAUAUUGA
Gambusia affinis (western mosquitofish) is the source of this 1204-nucleotide long non-coding RNA. RefSeq lists it as uncharacterized. Lineage: Eukaryota; Metazoa; Chordata; Actinopteri; Cyprinodontiformes; Poeciliidae. The transcript is spliced from 3 exons. The record is from RefSeq and is a predicted model, not a curated record.